UCGAAUGGGGAGAUUCAUCGUCAGCGACGUUGGCUUAGCGGUGACUCGUGAUGUCCGGGACCUCGGUCUCGAGGCACGCGGUCGUUGCUUUGCGUCCGGCGGCGUCGGCGUGCACUUCUCCCCUAGUAGAACGUCGCGACCCGUUGGGUGCCGGUCUUACGGCCUUGGAAUGCCUGUUGCAUCGUUUCGGCGCGUGCGGCAGAUCCUCGGUCACAAAGAAUCGGCUGCUCGGCGGUACUCCCAUGGUAUCGGGCCGCAAAUUCGAACUGCGUCGGGCCCGCUCUGUCCGCCGUUCAGGUUCUCGGGGGUGCGGACCUAGCGCCGUCCCCGGUCCUGAACAGCUUGUCAGGCGGUGUCCUCCGACUGGCCAUUUUAUAUCGAUACCGGUCGGCGACGCUACCGCUUUGGGUCAUCUCAGGACCCGUCUUGAAACACGGACCAAGGAGUCUAACAUGUGCGCGAGUCAUUGGGACCGCAUGCCUAAAGGCGAAAUGAAAGUGAAGGUCGGCCUUCGCGCCGACCGAGGGAGGAUGGGCCGCGUUACGAUGCGGCUCCGCACUCCCGGGGCGUCUCGUUCUCAUUCGAGAAGAGGCGCACCCAGAGCGUACACGUUGGGACCCGAAAGAUGGUGAACUAUGCCUGGUCAGGACGAAGUCAGGGGAAACCCUGAUGGAGGUCCGUAGCGAUUCUGACGUGCAAAUCGAUCGUCGGAA
Molecule: ribosomal RNA, 713 nt
Filed under: Laelius sp.
Lineage: Eukaryota; Metazoa; Arthropoda; Insecta; Hymenoptera; Bethylidae
Description: partial large subunit ribosomal RNA
Rfam family: Eukaryotic large subunit ribosomal RNA
Source: RNAcentral